This 71-nucleotide transfer RNA is filed under the name Paramuricea clavata. It matches the Rfam family "tRNA". Rfam says of the family: Transfer RNA (tRNA) molecules are approximately 80 nucleotides in length. Lineage: Eukaryota; Metazoa; Cnidaria; Anthozoa; Malacalcyonacea; Plexauridae. The record is from Rfam by way of RNAcentral.
GCCUCUGUAGCUCAGUUGGUUAGAGCACUGCACCGGAAUCACAGCCGCAGGUUCGAUUCCUGCCAGGGACC